Molecule: ribosomal RNA, 271 nt
Filed under: uncultured bacterium
Lineage: Bacteria
Description: partial 16S ribosomal RNA
Rfam family: Bacterial small subunit ribosomal RNA
Source: RNAcentral
UUGGACCUACGGGAGGCAGCAGUGAGGAAUAUUGGUCGAUGGGCGCGAGCCUGAACCAGCCAAGUCGCGUGAGGGAAGACGGUCCUAUGGAUUGUAAACCUCUUUUGUCGGGGAGCAAAAGAUGCCACGUGUGGCGUUCCGAGAGUACCCGAAGAAAAAGCAUCGGCUAACUCCGUGCCAGCAGCCGCGGUAAUACGGAGGAUGCGAGCGUUAUCCCGAUUUAUUGGGUUUAAAGGGUGCGCAGGCGGAAGAUCAAGUCAGCGGUAAAAUU